Molecule: ribosomal RNA, 450 nt
Filed under: Conasprella elokismenos
Lineage: Eukaryota; Metazoa; Mollusca; Gastropoda; Neogastropoda; Conidae
Description: partial 16S ribosomal RNA
Rfam family: Bacterial large subunit ribosomal RNA
Source: RNAcentral
AUAUGAAGUCGGGCCUGCCCAGUGAGUUUAUUUAACGGCCGCGGUACCCUGACCGUGCAAAGGUAGCAUAAUACUUGCCUUAUAAUUGAAGGCUGGAAUGAAUGGUUUGACAAGAGUGUAGCUGUCUCAUUAUAAUUUAAUAGAAUUUUAUUUUAGGAUGAAAAAGUCCUAAUUUAAUUAAAAGACAAGAAGACCCUAUCGAGCUUAAAGUUAAUUAAUAAAAAAUUAUUAUUUGUAAAAAUUAGUUAUUAAAAAUUUUGGUUGGGGCAACUAAGGAGCAAGAAAAGCCUCUUUUUAAAAACUAUACAAACUGGUAAAGAUCCAAUAAUUUUGAUCAAAGAAAAUAGUUACCGUAGGGAUAACAGCAUUAUCUUUUUUGAGAGCUCUUAUCGAAAAAAAGGUUUGUGACCUCGAUGUUGGACCAGAAUAUCCCAAAGAUGCUAGAAGUCU